Tachyglossus aculeatus (Australian echidna) is the source of this 70-nucleotide small nucleolar RNA. RefSeq annotates it as small nucleolar RNA SNORD75. Lineage: Eukaryota; Metazoa; Chordata; Mammalia; Monotremata; Tachyglossidae. The transcript has a single exon. The record is from RefSeq and is a predicted model, not a curated record.
AGCCAAUGAUGACUGAAAUGAUAAGAGUAGUGGACAGAAGGGAUUUCUGAAUACUUGAAACACUGAGGCU